Molecule: ribosomal RNA, 421 nt
Filed under: uncultured bacterium
Lineage: Bacteria
Description: bacterial SSU rRNA
Rfam family: Bacterial small subunit ribosomal RNA
Source: RNAcentral
GGGGAAUAUUGCGCAAUGGGCGAAAGCCUGACGCAGCCACGCCGCGUGAGCGAUGAAGGUCUUCGGAUCGUAAAGCUCUGUGGGGAGAGACGAAGAAAGCCGGUGAAGAGCCGGCCUUGACGGUAUCUCCUUAGCAAGCACCGGCUAACUCCGUGCCAGCAGCCGCGGUAAUACGGAGGGUGCAAACGUUGCUCGGAAUCAUUGGGCGUAAAGCGCACGUAGGCGGCGGCGUAAGCGGGAUGUGAAAGCCCAGGGCUCAACCUUGGAAGUGCAUCCCGAACUGCGUCGCUUGAAUCUCGGAGGGGGACAGAGAAUUCCCGGUGUAGAGGUGAAAUUCGUAGAUAUCGGGAGGAAUACCAGUGGCGAAGGCGCGGUCCUGGACGAAGAUUGACGCUGAGGUGCGAAAGCGUGGGGAGCAAAC